AUACGGAGGUUGCAAGCGUUAUCCGGAAUCAUUGGGUUUAAAGGGUCCGUAGGCGGACUAUUAAGUCAGAGGUGAAAUCCCACAGCUCAACUGUGGAACUGCCUUUGAUACUGGUAGUCUUGAGUUAUAUGGAAGUAGAUAGAAUGUGUAGUGUAGCGGUGAAACGCAUAGAUAUUACACAGAAUACCGAUUGCGAAGGCAGUCUACUACGUAUAUACUGACGCUAAGGGACGAAAGCGUGGGGAGCGAACAGGAUUAGAUACCCUAGUAGUCC
RNAcentral lists this ribosomal RNA (274 nucleotides) under uncultured bacterium. Its description in RNAcentral is "partial 16S ribosomal RNA". It matches the Rfam family "Bacterial small subunit ribosomal RNA", at positions 523 to 796 of the family's 1533-position model. The record is from RNAcentral.